This 460-nucleotide ribosomal RNA is filed under the name uncultured bacterium. RNAcentral describes it as "bacterial SSU rRNA". It matches the Rfam family "Bacterial small subunit ribosomal RNA", at positions 338 to 795 of the family's 1533-position model. The record is from RNAcentral.
CCUACGGGAGGCUGCAGUGAGGAAUAUUGGGCAAUGGGCGAAAGCCUGACCCAGCAACGCCGCGUGGAGGAUGAAUGUCGUAAGAUUGUAAACUCCUGUUAGAGGGGAAGAAUAAUCCCGAUCGACUCGGGACUUGACUGUACCCUCAGAGAAAGCUCCGGCUAACUACGUGCCAGCAGCCGCGGUAAUACGUAGGGAGCAAGCGUUGUCCGGAUUUACUGGGUGUAAAGGGCGCGCAGGCGGGUUGGUAAGUCAGAGGUGAAAUCCUGCAGCUUAACUGUAGAACUGCCCUUGAUACUGCCGAUCUUGAGUAUGGAAGAGAGAGACGGAAUUCCAGGUGUAGUGGUGAAAUACGUAGAUAUCUGGAAGAACACCAGUUGCGAAGGCGGUCUCUUGGUCCAAUACUGACGCUGAGGCGCGAAAGCGUGGGUAGCAAACAGGAUUAGAUACCCCAGUAGUC